This 253-nucleotide ribosomal RNA is filed under the name uncultured bacterium. RNAcentral's name for it is "partial 16S ribosomal RNA". It matches the Rfam family "Bacterial small subunit ribosomal RNA", at positions 524 to 776 of the family's 1533-position model. The record is from RNAcentral.
UACAGAGGGUGCAAGCGUUAAUCGGAGUUACUGGGCGUAAAGGGCGCGUAGGCGGAUAUAUUUGUGUGAUGUGAAAGCCCCGAGCUUAACCUGGGAAGUGCAUCGCAAACUGUAUAUCUAGAGUAUAUGAGGGGGUGGCGGGAUUUCCGGUGUAGCGGUGAAAUGCGUAGAGAUCGGAAGGAACGUCAAUGGCGAAGGCAGCCACCUGGCAUAAUACUGACGCUGAGGCGCGAAAGCGUGGGGAGCGAACAGG